UACAGAGGGUGCAAGCGUUAAUCGGAAUUACUGGGCGUAAAGCGCGCGUAGGUGGUUCGUUAAGUUGGAUGUGAAAGCCCCGGGCUCAACCUGGGAACUGCAUUCAAAACUGUCGAGCUAGAGUAUGGUAGAGGGUGGUGGAAUUUCCUGUGUAGCGGUGAAAUGCGUAGAUAUAGGAAGGAACACCAGUGGCGAAGGCGACCACCUGGACUGAUACUGACACUGAGGUGCGAAAGCGUGGGGAGCAAACAGG
RNAcentral lists this ribosomal RNA (253 nucleotides) under uncultured bacterium. Its description in RNAcentral is "partial 16S ribosomal RNA". It matches the Rfam family "Bacterial small subunit ribosomal RNA", at positions 524 to 776 of the family's 1533-position model. The record is from RNAcentral.